Acromyrmex echinatior (Panamanian leafcutter ant) is the source of this 2665-nucleotide long non-coding RNA. NCBI's taxonomy places the organism in Eukaryota, Metazoa, Arthropoda, Insecta, Hymenoptera, Formicidae. The record is from RefSeq and is a predicted model, not a curated record.
GCGAUCUGUAAAUUUAGAAACGGAUAAUGAAUGAUUCCGCUCGCUACGACGUCUAAGUAUAGGUAGAUACUUAGAAGAUUCGUCGACAGUUUGUUACUGGAAUGAUCGUCAGAGAAAAAGAGAGAGAUCUCGUACCAUCAGACCAUAGGAUUAUUACAUAACUACUUGUAGCGCUCAUUACAAGAUCAAUUGUAGAUGCAUGUGUUAAAAAACGAACCGUAAAUGCGGAAAAUCUUCCACUGUGUAAUACCGAUAACUUGCAACUGGAGCGAUCAAUGUCACGUCAAUGUUCUAUGGCUUGAGGGUGGAAGGACAAAUAUCAUAUAUUGGAAUAUACGGAUUGACGUCAUAUUAUUCACGGUGUCAAGAUUUUCCGAGAUGCAGAAGGACGUCGGUUAUUUUAGGUCUCUGCAAUAUACGGAGAUUGAUGUACACAAAUGCAUUCUCUGCACUCGAACUAUCAUCAUUGUGCCGUUUACUUUUACGAUAUAAAACAGUCGAGUUGGAUACAUACAAAUAAAAAAUUGUUAAAAAAGCAAAUUUUGAGAGACUCGACGACGUGUCGUUGAAAAACAGAUUUCAGUAUAGCAAUGCGGAGAUGGAAUCCGGCGGAAUGAUAGAAUUUGGUAACGAAUAUCUAAAGAGAUUCGCGUACAAGAUUAUAUGUUUCGAAUCGGAUAUAGUUUGAUUGUUGACUGUCUGAUAAAUUUUGUCAUUUCAAAAUGUGAAAAACAAGGCUGUUUUCAAGAAGCUCUUAUGAAACAAGAGAUUCAGGGUGAUGUAUAGACAUGCAGGUAGAUACAUAUAUCAAUUAAGGAUUUCAGCCAAAAAUAAAGGAAAUAGCAAAACAAGCAUAAAAUGUUAGACUGCUGCUUUGGUAAAACACAAAUUCGAGUUCACCGACCCUUUCAUGGUGCGCGCACCACGUCUAAUCCCGUUUCCAAGCUGGGAAAACGCGCGUAGGACGGCUAUACGUCGGUUGAAUCAUCGAAAUAAUGGUGCGGUCGCAUCGGCCGUGUGUGUUAAGUCGACGAGGGAAAUGGAGAAAACCAGCUUUUAGAUUCUUCCGCAACAGUUCGCGUACUUUUCAGUCAUUUCGUCAACGUCAAACUGUAUCAAGAUUUAAAAUCGUUAUGCGUGCACGGUGUGAUAGUAUCGGCAGAAAAGGUUUCUCUUGGAAAAAAGAAUUCGAAUUCUCUCGAUAUUGCUUCUUUAUUGUUUGAGGAUGACUCUUCUACGAGACUCUAUAUUUGCCAUUUUUAUUUGGAAGAUGUGAAGGGAUACAUAAAGUUGAAGCGAUUGAAGGAAAGUCUCUUAUUAAGCGUACAAAAAUAAAAAGAAAUACAAGAUACGCUUUCAUUGUAUUGCACCAUUUCCCGAGUUACCGUCGUUGCUGCGUUCUGCGAAAGUAAAAUAUCGUGGUCGACAGCAUCGAGUCGAAUCCACAUGUACGAAAAAGCCGCACCGUCUAACCGAAUUUAUCAAGGCUGCAUGAGGUUGCCUGUUGUGUAGAUGCUCAAGACUUGCAUUCGCAAAAAAAUCCGCAUGCACACGCACGCACGCACGCACGCAUACACGCAUGCACGUAUUAUUAGAAUUAUUAAUUAGAAAUGCAAGGGACACGCGAGAUCGCACGACUUGAAAAAUAAAUAUUCCAAAUAACAAUAAUAAAUGCCAAAUGUUCGCCAGCGUCUGGUAGCAAUUUAACAGAAAUAAACGCAGUAUACAUGAUAUAUCCGCAUCGCGCGAAAGAAAGAGUUUCGUGCGACUGUAUUUUAAAUACGUUUUCCAACGGAUUAUUAAUAAACGAAAAUAAGUGUGUGACACAAAAUACGUUGUUGCAAAUCUAUAUAACGGAUUUUCGACAAAUUAAUGAACUUUCACGCCUCACGUGUGAUAUGUAACAAUUAUCGGUUAGUUGGAGUUACGGAGUUAAAUUGCAAUUAAGGGUGAGAACGAAGAAGUGGCUCGGCUUUAGUCGAGACUAUUGUACAAAGAUAAUACGCAGAAGUAGCAUUACAGAACGUUUUACUAUCUUAUAAAAUUGUCAGCCGUCACGGAAGCGUAAUAAUAAGAAACAAUUAUCACGUUCGUAUUUCGAGUCAAUUGAUGUAUUGCGAGUUGCUGUAUUGUAUUUCUUCUAAGAAAAAACGACGAACAUCUUUGACUUACCAAGAGAGAAAAGUUUUGACCAAGUGCAAAAAAUCAGUCGAAUCUCAGCUUUGGAAAGUUGUUUAAAGCUCCUGAGUAAUCGCCGAGGUCAUGUUGGAAUCGUGACGUCAUAAGCGAGAAAUGACACGUUGACUUUUAUUUCAUUUGCAAAAUUUGCAAAUAAAGAGAAUUUGGAUGAAAACAAAAUGAUGAAAUCGCUUUAAGCUUUAAAACUAUCCGUUUUAAAUCCAAACACGUAGUGUUUUGUCUAUUGAAAAAAUUUAAAACUAAAACAUCUCUAAGUGUUUAAAAAAUGGAGACAAGGAUAAAACACAUUUCUUUUUACAGUGGCGCUGAGCGGUUCCUGUAAAUGAUUCAAUUGUAAUUCGCAUCACUCUCUCGUGAUUUCUUGAGUCGAAUUUGUAAGCGAAAUUCAUGCGCAAAUGGUAAGAAUAAUCGAUCGUGUUGUAUUGCCCUCAUGUUUAUGAGAAAUAAUAAGUUGCUGGAAGGAGUA